GAAUUCUCAGGGAUUAUAAUCCUCACCAAUAUAACAAGCCUCCAAAGUCAUAUUUUUUAACUUUUUGAAAUGCCCUUCCACCUAACUACCCAUUUGACACCUGCAGCCAUCCUCUAGAGAGGCAGACAAGAUCGAUCGUCUCACUUUACAGAAGUGCAAAGACUAGCUGGCCUAAUGACACAGCCAAUGAACAGAUGAAGGAGGCCUACAACCACCCAGUCUUCCCUACUUCUCCUCACUCCUCCCCUCCGACCUCCUUACGUCACCAGUGACCAAUGGAUCACUGUGUGGCCGUUCAGCAUCUUCCUAUGCUGUGUCAGGCAAGAGAACUUCUGGAAAGAGAGCAUCUCUUGUUUAUUAAGGAGACUGGGUGUCCUUGUAGAAAGUCCUGCCAUGCACAAUCCCAGUCUUAACUAAUGUGUUUCACCGUACUGAAGUCCAAUGUGAAUAACAAAAUGAAGAAUAUCAGGAUGAUUCGAGACCAGGAAUACUACAGAUGUCCAACACUUCCACCUGGAAUCCCCAAAGAGGCCUGCUGUUAGCCUCCACACUGGUUGGUGACCUGGCAUGGCAGAAAUGACAGAAAUCUCAGAAGACUGGCCUCAUGAAUAAUCUUCAGUAUCAAUGUCACAAAGCAAGCCUUCUAGAAAUUACCUGACUCUGCAGUUCACUCUGCUGCUUCAGAUGAAAAUUUUCAGGUCUGUCUGCCACUGUAGUGAAGGACUGCUUUGGGUAGUGUCUGUGGAGAAACUUUUUAAAGGACAUAGUUAAAAUAUUGUGCUACAAA
RNAcentral lists this long non-coding RNA (787 nucleotides) under Pongo abelii (Sumatran orangutan). RNAcentral's name for it is "lincRNA". The record is from RNAcentral. Lineage: Eukaryota; Metazoa; Chordata; Mammalia; Primates; Hominidae.